Molecule: ribosomal RNA, 253 nt
Filed under: uncultured bacterium
Lineage: Bacteria
Description: partial 16S ribosomal RNA
Rfam family: Bacterial small subunit ribosomal RNA
Source: RNAcentral
UACGGAGGGUGCAAGCGUUAUCCGGAAUCACUGGGUUUAAAGGGUGCGUAGGCGGCCAGAUAAGUCAGAGGUGAAAGUUUCCGGCUCAACCGGGAGAUUGCCUUUGAUACUGUUUGGCUUGAAUCAGAUUGAGGUUGGCGGAAUGUGACAUGUAGCGGUGAAAUGCAUAGAUAUGUCAUAGAACAUCGAUUGCGAAGGCAGCUGGCUGGAUCUGUAUUGACGCUGAGGCACGAAAGCGUGGGGAGCAAAUAGG